GCUUUGUAUGUGUUUGCGGGGGUGUCAGGAUGCUAUAUCCGCAAUCUUUCUCAAAAUAAAGCUGAAACGCGCCAUUUAGGCCUCUUUGUUGAAAAGUCUCCUCUCCCUGUGCGUCGAUCUGUUAAUUAUAUGCAACAGGAGGAGGAGGGGGGCAGGAGGGGGAGUGUCGUUGAUGAGCAGGGGCGGAGCCGCGGGCUAACGCUGUGUUGUGGUGGUGGUACGGCAGGCUAGCUGUUACCUAGAGUUAGCAAUUUGCCCUAGUUAGCAAUGGGACGUCCAGCACCUGAUGGAACUUACUCUCGCUUGUUUUGACCGAAAGAUGACACAAUCUAUUGCCUACCUGCUCAUGGGCUUCAGUGCAGGACGCCUCAGAAGGCCGUUUCAGGCAUUUGUCCAACAGUGAUUCGAGUGUUGUCUUGCAUAUCCAUGCCGAGUUCCCCGAUGAAGGACGUUGGGACCUCGAUACAAGGCUGGCGGUGACCUCCUCUGGCUGGCUCGUCUGAACUGCGCUGACUUGUCUUCUAGGGCACCAACAUUGCAUUAGUCACGGGGUUUCCGAAGACCUUUCCACACAAAGCACACAGGAAAAGAAAAAUAUUGUUUAGAAUGCUAUGUCAUUUUUGAAUUAUUGAAGUAACACUAUUAAAAUGUUAUGUCAGAA
Long non-coding RNA from Engraulis encrasicolus (European anchovy), 661 nucleotides. RefSeq lists it as uncharacterized. The record is from RefSeq and is a predicted model, not a curated record. Lineage: Eukaryota; Metazoa; Chordata; Actinopteri; Clupeiformes; Engraulidae. The transcript has 2 exons.